AAGACUACACUUUCAGGGAUCAUUUCUAUAGUUGUUACUAGAGAAGUUUCUCUGAACAUGAAGAGAUUCUAUUCCUUGAAUCCUGGACCCAUAAAUUCUAGCCAGGGGA
Equus asinus (donkey) is the source of this 109-nucleotide small nucleolar RNA. Its record names the gene U3. It matches the Rfam family "Small nucleolar RNA U3". Rfam says of the family: Small nucleolar RNAs (snoRNAs) are involved in the processing and modification of rRNA in the nucleolus. There are two main classes of snoRNAs: the box C/D class, and the box H/ACA class. NCBI's taxonomy places the organism in Eukaryota, Metazoa, Chordata, Mammalia, Perissodactyla, Equidae. The record is from Ensembl.